This 528-nucleotide ribosomal RNA is filed under the name uncultured bacterium. RNAcentral describes it as "bacterial SSU rRNA". It matches the Rfam family "Bacterial small subunit ribosomal RNA", at positions 980 to 1509 of the family's 1533-position model. The record is from RNAcentral.
CUUGACAUCCAGAGAACUUGGCAGAGAUGCCUUGGUGCCUUCGGGAACUCUGAGACAGGUGCUGCAUGGCUGUCGUCAGCUCGUGUUGUGAAAUGUUGGGUUAAGUCCGCAACGAGCGCAACCCCUAUCCUUUGUUGCCAGCGAUUCGGUCGGGAACUCAAAGGAGACUGCCGGUGAUAAACCGGAGGAAGGUGGGGAUGACGUCAAGUCAUCAUGGCCCUUACGAGUAGGGCUACACACGUGCUACAAUGGCGUAUACAAAGAGAAGCGACCUCGCGAGAGCAAGCGGACCUCAUAAAGUACGUCGUAGUCCGGAUUGGAGUCUGCAACUCGACUCCAUGAAGUCGGAAUCGCUAGUAAUCGUAGAUCAGAAUGCUACGGUGAAUACGUUCCCGGGCCUUGUACACACCGCCCGUCACACCAUGGGAGUGGGUUGCAAAAGAAGUAGAUAGCUUAACCUUCGGGAGGGCGUUUACCACUUUGUGAUUCAUGACUGGGGUGAAGUCGUAACAAGGUAAGCGUAGCGAG